Molecule: ribosomal RNA, 420 nt
Filed under: uncultured archaeon
Lineage: Archaea
Description: partial 16S ribosomal RNA
Rfam family: Archaeal small subunit ribosomal RNA
Source: RNAcentral
CUACGGGAGGCUGCAGUUGAGGAAAUUUUACAAUGCGCGAAAGCGUGAUAAAGCGAGCCAGAGUGUUGCUCUUAGAGCAACUUUUGUUUGCUGUAAAAAGGCAGACGAAUAAGGACUGGGCAAGACCGGUGCCAGCCGCCGCGGUAAUACCGGCGGUCCGAGUCGCAUCCACAUUUAUUGGGUCUAAAACAUUCGUAGCUUGUUUUGUAAGUUUCCUGUGAAAUCUCAUGUCUCAAACAUGAGGCGUGCAAGAAAUACUGCAUUGCUAGAGACCGGAAGACGCAAAGAGUAUGAUUAAGGUAGCGGUAAAAUGCGUUAAUCUUAAUCAGACUAACAACGGCGAAGGCACUUUGCGAGUACGGAUCUGACAGUUAGGGAUGAAGGCUAGGGUCGCGAAAGGGAUUAGAUACCCCCGUAGUC